GGGCGAAUAGCUCAGUGGGAGAGCACCUGCCUUACAAGCAGGGGGUCAGAGGUUCGAACCCUCUUUCGCCCA
This 72-nucleotide transfer RNA is filed under the name candidate division NC10 bacterium CSP1-5. Its description in RNAcentral is "tRNA-Val". It matches the Rfam family "tRNA". Rfam says of the family: Transfer RNA (tRNA) molecules are approximately 80 nucleotides in length. Their secondary structure includes four short double-helical elements and three loops (D, anti-codon, and T loops). Further hydrogen bonds mediate the characteristic L-shaped molecular structure. tRNAs have two regions of fundamental functional importance: the anti-codon, which is responsible for specific mRNA codon recognition, and the 3' end, to which the tRNAs corresponding amino acid is attached (by aminoacyl-tRNA synthetases). tRNAs cope with the degeneracy of the genetic code in two manners: having more than one tRNA (with a specific anti-codon) for a particular amino acid; and 'wobble' base-pairing, i.e. permitting non-standard base-pairing at the 3rd anti-codon position. The record is from RNAcentral. Lineage: Bacteria; Methylomirabilota (SeqCode).